Molecule: ribosomal RNA, 237 nt
Filed under: uncultured bacterium
Lineage: Bacteria
Description: partial 16S ribosomal RNA
Rfam family: Bacterial small subunit ribosomal RNA
Source: RNAcentral
UUGCGAACGGGUGAGUAACGCGUAGGUAACCUGCCUGGUACGGGGGAGUAACUAUUGGAAACGAUAGCUAAUACCGCAUAAGAGUAGAUGUUGCAUGAUACAGUGUGAAAAACUCCGGUGGUACAAGAUGGACCCGCGUCUGAUUAGCUAGUUGGUAAGGUAACGGCUUACCAAGGCGACGAUCAGUAGCCGACCUGAGAGGGUGACCGGCCACAUUGGGACUGAGACACGGCCCAA